GUUGAUGUUUUAGGUUCCCAUAGGGUUCAUAGAUGGUAUUCUAGAGUACAGGGUACCGGACAGACAGGUUUUCUGAUUUGGGACCCGAGAGUUAACUCCUACUCUGGAGUAUGCACGAUUGACGAUGUUGACGCUGGACAGACCUUGCGUGCAUAUGGUGACUGGAGACAUGAGCAGGCAGUUCAUGACCCUCACCCGCUUGAGGCGUAGGGUGGUACAUGAUGAG
This 226-nucleotide long non-coding RNA is filed under the name Panax ginseng (ginseng). RNAcentral describes it as "long non-coding RNA (PGIN_LNC004032)". The record is from RNAcentral. Lineage: Eukaryota; Viridiplantae; Streptophyta; Magnoliopsida; Apiales; Araliaceae.